Molecule: non-coding RNA, 59 nt
Organism: Pteropus alecto (black flying fox)
Lineage: Eukaryota; Metazoa; Chordata; Mammalia; Chiroptera; Pteropodidae
Source: Rfam
UUGCUUGGCUAAGAAGAGGGGCUGUUUUAUCAUGAUGUUUAUUUUAUUAUUAUUAAACC